GCUGGCGGCGUGCUUAACACAUGCAAGUCGAACGGAAAGGCCCUGCUUUUGUGGGGUGCUCGAGUGGCGAACGGGUGAGUAACACGUGAGUAACCUGCCCUUGACUUUGGGAUAACUUCAGGAAACUGGGGCUAAUACCGGAUAGGAGCUCCUGCUGCAUGGUGGGGGUUGGAAAGUUUCGGCGGUUGGGGAUGGACUCGCGGCUUAUCAGCUUGUUGGUGGGGUAGUGGCUUACCAAGGCUUUGACGGGUAGCCGGCCUGAGAGGGUGACCGGCCACAUUGGGACUGAGAUACGGCCCAGACUCCUACGGGAGGCAGCAGUGGGGAAUAUUGCACAAUGGGCGGAAGCCUGAUGCAGCAACGCCGCGUGCGGGAUGACGGCCUUCGGGUUGUAAACCGCUUUCGCCUGUGACGAAGCGUGAGUGACGGUAAUGGGUAAAGAAGCACCGGCUAACUACGUGCCAGCAGCCGCGGUGAUACGUAGGGUGCGAGCGUUGUCCGGAUUUAUUGGGCGUAAAGGGCUCGUAGGUGGUUGAUCGCGUCGGAAGUGUAAUCUUGGGGCUUAACCCUGAGCGUGCUUUCGAUACGGGUUGACUUGAGGAAGGUAGGGGAGAAUGGAAUUCCUGGUGGAGCGGUGGAAUGCGCAGACAUCAGGAGGAACACCAGUGGCGAAGGCGGUUCUCUGGGCCUUUCCUGACGCUGAGGAGCGAAAGCGUGGGGAGCGAACAGGCUUAGAUACCCUGGUAGUCCACGCUGUAAACGGUGGGUACUAGGUGUGGGGUCCAUUCCACGGGUUCCGUGCCGUAGCUAACGCUUUAAGUACCCCGCCUGGGGAGUACGGCCGCAAGGCUAAAACUCAAAGGAAUUGACGGGGCCCCGCACAAGCGGCGGAGCAUGCGGAUUAAUUCGAUGCAACGCGUAGAACCUUACCUGGGUUUGACAUGGAUCGGGAGUGCUCAGAGAUGGGUGUGCCUCUUUUGGGGUCGGUUCACAGGUGGUGCAUGGCUGUCGUCAGCUCGUGUCGUGAGAUGUUGGGUUAAGUCCCGCAACGAGCGCAACCCUUGUUCACUGUUGCCAGCACGUUAUGGUGGGGACUCAGUGGAGACCGCCGGGGUCAACUCGGAGGAAGGUGGGGAUGACGUCAAGUCAUCAUGCCCCUUAUGUCCAGGGCUUCACGCAUGCUACAAUGGCUGGUACAGAGAGUGGCGAGCCUGUGAGGGUGAGCGAAUCUCGGAAAGCCGGUCUCAGUUCGGAUUGGGGUCUGCAACUCGACCUCAUGAAGUCGGAGUCGCUAGUAAUCGCAGAUCAGCAACGCUGCGGUGAAUACGUUCCCGGGGCUUGUACACACCGCCCGUCAAGUCAUGAAAGUUGGUAACACCCGAAGCCGGUGGCCUAACCGUUGUGGGGGAGCCGUCGAAGGUGGGACUGGUGAUUAGG
RNAcentral lists this ribosomal RNA (1437 nucleotides) under uncultured organism. RNAcentral describes it as "16S ribosomal RNA". It matches the Rfam family "Bacterial small subunit ribosomal RNA". The record is from RNAcentral.